RNAcentral lists this ribosomal RNA (253 nucleotides) under uncultured bacterium. RNAcentral's name for it is "partial 16S ribosomal RNA". It matches the Rfam family "Bacterial small subunit ribosomal RNA", at positions 524 to 776 of the family's 1533-position model. The record is from RNAcentral.
UACAGAGGGGGCAAGCGUUGUUCGGAAUUACUGGGCGUAAAGGGCGCGUAGGCGGCCUGCUAAGUCGAACGUGAAAUCCCCGAGCUCAACUCGGGAACUGCGUCCGAUACUGGCAGGCUUGAAUCCGGGAGAGGGAUGCGGAAUUCCAGGUGUAGCGGUGAAAUGCGUAGAUAUCUGGAGGAACACCGGUGGCGAAGGCGGCAUCCUGGACCGGCAUUGACGCUGAGGCGCGAAAGCCUGGGGAGCAAACGGG